RNAcentral lists this ribosomal RNA (448 nucleotides) under uncultured bacterium. Its description in RNAcentral is "partial 16S ribosomal RNA". It matches the Rfam family "Bacterial small subunit ribosomal RNA", at positions 330 to 794 of the family's 1533-position model. The record is from RNAcentral.
GCCAGACUCCUACGGGAGGCAGCAGUGGGGGAUAUUGCACAAUGGGGGGAACCCUGAUGCAGCGACGCCGCGUGGGUGAAGGAGUAUUUCGGUAUGUAAAGCCCUAUCGGCAGGGAAGAAGAAAGACGGUACCUGACUAAGAAGCCCCGGCUAACUACGUGCCAGCAGCCGCGGUAAUACGUAGGGGGCGAGCGUUAUCCGGAUUCACUGGGUGUAAAGGGAGCGUAGACGGCCAAGCAAGCCAGGGGUGAAAGCCCGGGGCCCAACCCCGGGACUGCCCUUGGAACUGCAUGGCUGGAGUGCGGGAGGGGCAGGCGGAAUUCCUGGUGUAGCGGUGAAAUGCGUAGAUAUCAGGAGGAACACCGGUGGCGAAGGCGGCCUGCUGGACUGCAACUGACGUUGAGGCCCGAAAGCGUGGGGAGCAAACAGGAUUAGAUACCCUGGUAGC